RNAcentral lists this long non-coding RNA (554 nucleotides) under Solanum lycopersicum (tomato). Its description in RNAcentral is "long non-coding RNA (SLYC_LNC000323)". Lineage: Eukaryota; Viridiplantae; Streptophyta; Magnoliopsida; Solanales; Solanaceae. The record is from RNAcentral.
CAAACAAUAUUCUACCAACAAUGAGCAUCCAUCUGUGUUCUGAGGCAGCACUUAUAAUAGCCCCAGCGAUGAAGAAAAGGGAAGCCAUGAAGAUGGUAGGCCUACGUCCUAAAGCUGAACACGCCUUGGAUGCAAAGAAACUCGAAACCAAAGCUGAUAGAUACAAUGAUGAGGUGAAUAGCUGAAGAAGUUGAUCAUCAUAUUUACAAUAGUUAUUCUCCUUUGCGUGAAGCUUCCUUUCGUAAACAUUUGGGAAAAAUUUAAGCAGGAAAUCAUCCAUACCAGACACUCCACCUGAAAAUACUCAUUCAAAUCAAAAUCCAAAGUCCAAAAUAUCCUUAAAUUAAAAUAAAAAAAUACAUACCUGAAAUACCAAUAUCAUAACCAAACAUAAGCCCUCCAAAGGCAGCAAAGAUCCAACAUGAUACCACAUACACGGUAAUCUUAGAGUUAUUUGGUUGAAUUGUCGACAUUUUUGCCUUUUUUUAUAUAAUUAUUUAUAUUUUCGUUUUUAUAUGAAUAAAAAUUACCCUCCGAGAUAAAAACUGAUUUAU